RNAcentral lists this ribosomal RNA (484 nucleotides) under uncultured bacterium. RNAcentral's name for it is "partial 16S ribosomal RNA". It matches the Rfam family "Bacterial small subunit ribosomal RNA", at positions 29 to 507 of the family's 1533-position model. The record is from RNAcentral.
AAUGAACGCUGGCGGCAUGCCUAACACAUGCAAGUCGAACGAAAGCGCGGGCUUCGGCCUCGCGGGGAGUUGUGAACGGAUGGGUAAUGCACCGGAACGUGACCUACCUUGGGGGAUAGGCUGGCGUAAGGCGGAUUAAUAUCGUACCCGACCUUAGGGUGAAAGGGAUGGACCGAAAGGGCUCGCGCUAUUUGAUCUGACGAGGUCGGAUUAGCUAGUCGGUGGGGUAAAGGCUUAACAAGGCGACGAUCCGUAGCUGGUCUGAGAGGCCGACCAGCCACACUGGGACUGAGACACGGCCCAGACUCCUACGGGAGGCAGCAGUGGGGAAUUUUGCGCAAUGGGGGCAAGCCUGAUCCAGCAACGCCGCGUGCGGGAUGAAGGCCUUCGGAUUGUAAACCGCUGUUGUUCGGGAAGAAAUCAUGUGGACUUAUCCCCGGGGGUGAUGACGGUACCGGAAGAAUAAGCCCCGGCUAACUACGUG